GGGUGAGUAAUGCAUCGGAACGUACCUUUCAGUGGGGGAUAACGUAGCGAAAGUUACGCUAAUACCGCAUAUUCUGUGAGCAGGAAAGCAGGGGAUCGCAAGACCUUGCGCUGAUGGAGCGGCCGAUGUCAGAUUAGCUAGUUGGUGGGGUAAAGGCUCACCAAGGCGACGAUCUGUAGCGGGUCUUAGAGGAUGAUCCGCCACACUGGAACUGAGACACGGUCCAGACUCCUACGGGAGGCAGCAGUGGGGAAUUUUGGACAAUGGGCGCAAGCCUGAUCCAGCCAUGCCGCGUGAGUGAAGAAGGCCUUCGGGUUGUAAAGCUCUUUCGGCCGGGAAAAAAUCGCUUGGGUUAAUACCCUGAGUGGAUGAUGGUACCGGAAUAAGAAGCACCGGCUAACUACGUGCCAGCAGCCGCGGUAAUACGUAGGGUGCGAGCGUUAAUCGGAGUUACUGGGCGUAAAGCGUGCGCAGGCGGUUUUGUAAGACAGGCGUGAAAUCCCCGGGCUCAACCUGGGAACUGCGUUUGUGACUGCAAGGCUAGAGUAUGGCAGAGGGGGGUGGAAUUCCACGUGUAGCAGUGAAAUGCGUAGAGAUGUGGAGGAACACCAAUGGCGAAGGCAGCCCCCUGGGCCAAUACUGACGCUCAUGCACGAAAGCGUGGGGAGCAAACAGGAUUAGAUACCCUGGUAGUCCACGCCCUAAACGAUGUCAACUAGGUGUUGGGUGGGUAAAACCAUUUGGUACCGUAGCUAACGCGUGAAGUUGACCGCCUGGGGAGUACGGCCGCAAGGUUAAAACUCAAAGGAAUUGACGGGGACCCGCACAAGCGGUGGAUGAUGUGGAUUAAUUCGAUGCAACGCGAAAAACCUUACCUACCCUUGACAUGCCAGGAACUUGCCAGAGAUGGCUUGGUGCCCGAAAGGGAGCCUGGACACAGGUGCUGCAUGGCUGUCGUCAGCUCGCGUCGUGAGAUGUUGGGUUAAGUCCCGCAACGAGCGCAACCCUUGUCGUUAAUUGCCAUCAUUUAGUUGGGCACUUUAACGAGACUGCCGGUGACAAACCGGAGGAAGGUGGGGAUGACGUCAAGUCCUCAUGGCCCUUAUGGGUAGGGCUUCACACGUCAUACAAUGGUCGGUACAAAGGGUUGCCAAGCCGCGAGGCGGAGCCAAUCCCAGAAAGCCGAUCGUAGUCCGGAUCGCAGGCUGCAACUCGCCUGCGUGAAGUCGGAAUCGCUAGUAAUCGUGGAUCAGCAUGUCACGGUGAAUACGUUCCCGGGUCUUGUACACACCGCCCGUCACACCAUGGGAGCGGGUUCCGCCAGAAGUAGGUAGCCUAACCGCAAGGAGGGCGCUUACCACGGCGGG
This 1367-nucleotide ribosomal RNA is filed under the name metagenome. RNAcentral describes it as "bacterial SSU rRNA". It matches the Rfam family "Bacterial small subunit ribosomal RNA", at positions 104 to 1466 of the family's 1533-position model. The record is from RNAcentral.